Molecule: long non-coding RNA, 433 nt
Organism: Quercus lobata
Lineage: Eukaryota; Viridiplantae; Streptophyta; Magnoliopsida; Fagales; Fagaceae
Exons: 4
Source: RefSeq, a predicted model, not a curated record
CGAGAGAGUGUUUCGGAACCUGCUCCCUCAAACGAAAUUUCGGAGACAGAGGAGAAAUCACACAAACUGAGACCAAACAGUGAUUUUCAUGGCCAAAAAAUGCUCAGGGGAAACAGGAAUGGUAUUGAACCAAUGCUAUUGCUUCGUAAUCCAAAAUCAGAUGGUUGCCAAUAUGCUGCAACUCCAGUUGAUCCUGAUUUUAUUUUUCUGCCCAUUUUUUAGGAAGCUAGAAUGAAGCAAUAUUCCUUUGAAAUCAAUGCAAAUGGAGAUGAUCCAAGGAAGUUCAGGCAAUCAAAUGAGAUAUUCUUCAUUAGCAACUAUCCUGGAUAUCAACUUUUAUUGUCUAUCCCAAAGAAUUCUAGUCAAAAUAUUAAGUUCCUUUAAGAAUGAAGGAUUUAAUGAUAUGGAAAGAUAAUUGAAUUUUGUUUUGAUA